CUGUCUCGAUAAAUUGCUCGAAAUUUAUCUUGUCCACCCGACCUAGCCUUCUAACUAACAAUUUAUUAUAUAUGUUAUAAACCGUAAAGUAGUGUGCCGGGGAAACAAAAUUAACUACCCUAUAAGCCGCCUCGAACUGACGUACGUCUUCCAUGAUCACCUGUCCUGAGCCACAAGUUUUUAAUAGCCACUAAAUUCUCUAAUGCUCUCAUUCUUGGGUUCCAUUCCUUAUUAAAGAAUCAAUGUUUAGCAGCUUUAUGCAUCACCACCAGGUCAACGGUGUUAUCGGCCAUUCUAUUCAAAUACAAAUCAGAUUAUGAAUACAUAUUAUCAGUUUUUCUAGGUCUCAAGGUCAAAAACAAAAUCAAUGAAAAUAUAUCAUUAAUUUUGAAUAAACCAAUUCAAACUUCAAAAUUUUCAAAAUCCAUCAUACUUCAUUAAGCAUAAAAAUAACACUAUUAAAUUUACCUUGGAGUAGGAGCGCGUGGCGAAGAUGUGGUGUUUAGAAUUUUUUAUUAUUAUUUUUUUUCUCAAGUCUACAGAAACGUAGACCUGCUCUGAUACCACUAAAUGUAACACCCUAAUUAUAAAUUUUGUUCUAAUUAAAUAUCAUAUAGUAUUUUCGCAAAAAUAUCGACAACCUCAAAUAAUGUAAUUCCAAAAUCCUGUAGAGAACUCAAUAAUCGAAAGUAAACCGACCAAAUAAUAUUUUUAGGAAAAUAAUCACCAUACACACUAGACGGAAAACAUAAUGUUAAUUUACCAAAGUACCUAAUAUAAUAUGAGAAAGUCAAAUAUGAUUCACUAGAAAUUCAUAAACUUUACCUUUAAAGUAAACUAAACUUCAAAUCCUAAGUUUUCCUUAACCAAUAAAGGGUCUUUAGUAAUAUUAAAGAAAGUUUUCAUAACAUAUCCUAAGCACCACACACAUCCAUCACGCAUCUCCUUGCUCCUCGCCUGAAAAAGUUUUAAAUAAAAUGGGGUGAGUAUUUUAAAUAUACUCAGUGAGGGGGAAUUCAUAACUAAUCUUUUACUUUGUCCAAACGUGCAACAUAGCAUAUGAAAUAUAAAAUCAUAACUUCAACCAUAAACCAACAACUUGCUCAAAUAACAAGAGAGGAAAUAUGGGACAUAACUUCAACCACAUUUCAAUACAACACAUAAGAAAGUAUGAACACAUGGGACAUAUCACUUCAAUUGUGCACCGGAACAUAAACUUGGCAUAUUGCUAUAUUCUCACAUCAUAAUCUCAUUCAUAAAUCAUAGCAUAUGUAAACACGUUGGACAUAAAAUAACUUUUUCAGUAAAUAACUUAAAAUAUUUUCUUGCGGAAUUUAAACAUAAAAUAAAGGAACUUUCUUUAUUUUUACCCACCUCAAAUCUUUGAUAGCAAACUUGACUAACGUUUGGCUCAAUUAGGAUCUNUCCAGUUCUUGGCUCAUUCGCUCUUCCUUUGGGACAUGUAUUUGCAAAAUGUCCCGGCUCGGCACACUUAAAACAAACUCCUUUGUUCCAUAAACACUUGCCUGCGUGAAACUUCUUGCAUUCCGGGCACUGAGGUCGCUGUGCUCCUCCUGGACGUACUUCUCCUAUCUUCUUAUUUGGAAAGUUUUCCUUCCCCUUGUUACUGGUGUCAAACUUUCUCUUCCCACUGUUGUCUCCAGCUUUGAAUGGCACAACAUCAGCCUCCAAACCAGUUGCUACCUCAUGAGCUCGUCUUACCGCCAAUCCAUAAUCCACAAUCUCUUGUCCCGCCAAAAUACCCCGAAUUUCAGGUCGAAGCCCUCUUAAGAACCGAUCAGCCUUAAGAUCCUCAGUAUUCACCAUACGAGUAGCAUAGCGAGCCAAAAGAUUGAACUUUCUCUCGUAUUCUGUGACUGACAUGGUUCCUUGUUUGAGAUCUAGGAAUUCUGCUUGCUUUUGAUUUCGGUAUGAACGUGGAAAAUACUUGUCCAUUACAACUUCCUUGAACCUGUUCCAAGUAAGUCCUUGACGUUGAGCCUCCGUCAUUCCAUUCUUAUACGACCUCCACCAAUGACCGGCAUCUUCAGUGAAUUGGAAAGUUGCACAGGACACUUUGUGCGCGUCAGCACACUCUAUGUGCUCAAAUAUCCUUUCCAAUUCCAUCACCCACUCCUCAAGUGCUAACGGCCCACUCUUUCCAUCAAAUCUUGGCGGUGUAUAACGACGGAACUGCUCAAUCACUUGAUGGUUUGGUUUGAGCUGGUGCAUUGUUAGGAAGAUUAUGCACUUGAGUUUGUGUUGGCAAAACCUUGGAGUGCAGUAAUCAAAUUUUGUAUUAAGUUUCCAUCGCCAACAUUUGCUUCUGCAUCAUUCCCGGUGUUGUCAUUGAGAUUUGGAUUGUUUCUUUGUGGACGUCCUCGUCUCAUUUUCCUAGAAAUUCAACAUAAUUACUUGUUGAAUAUAUAAAUAAGGGAUAGAUAUAUUUAUAUAUAUAUUAAAGGCAUACACCUUCACUUACUAAUACCACAUAAUAUUCAACUUAUAAUAGUGAAUAAUAACUCAAUAAAAUAUUCAAAACACAAAGAAAUCUUGUCCAAUAUUAUUAUAUCCUGACGAAAAUAAAUAAUCCAAAGGAAUAACUUGUUCUCAAAUCCAAAACUAAAUUUCAAGGGAAAACAAAAUAACAUAAUAGAAUUUCGAAGGUGAUCCUAACUUCUAGUCCUCGUACUCGUCAUCAUUGCAGAUGACGGAUUCGUCAUCUGCAUCGUUGUCUCCUUCUCGGGGUCCUCUUCCGGAUCCUCUUCCUCCGAGCUAACUUCUAUAGGCUCAUAGUUCUCGUCAAUUUUCGUGUAUUCCGUUGUACUCAUCGUGAAUCUUCUGACCUACUGUCUCGAUAAACUGCUCGAAAUUUAUUUUAUCCACCCGACCUGGCCUUCUAACUAACAAUUUAUUAUAUAUGUUAUAAACCGUAAAGUAGUGUGCUGGGGAAACAAAAUUAACUACCCUAUAAGCCGCCUCGAACUGGCGUACUCGUCUUCCAUGAUCACCUGUCCUGAGCCACAAGUUUUUAAUAGCCACUAGAUUCUCUAAUGCUCCCAUUCUUGGGUUCCAUUCUUUAUUAAAGAACCG
Molecule: long non-coding RNA, 3093 nt
Filed under: Salvia miltiorrhiza (redroot sage)
Lineage: Eukaryota; Viridiplantae; Streptophyta; Magnoliopsida; Lamiales; Lamiaceae
Description: long non-coding RNA (SMIL_LNC008236)
Source: RNAcentral